CAACUACUCUCUCUGUCCCAAAUUUCUUGUCUUAGAUUUGUCUAGAUACGGAUGUAUCUAAUACUAAAAUGUGACUUGAUACAUUCGUAUCUAGACAAAUCUAAGACAAGAAUUUUGGGACGGAGGGAGUACUUU
This is a non-coding RNA of Triticum aestivum (bread wheat), 135 nucleotides long. The record is from Rfam. Lineage: Eukaryota; Viridiplantae; Streptophyta; Magnoliopsida; Poales; Poaceae.